RNAcentral lists this ribosomal RNA (646 nucleotides) under uncultured Corynebacterium sp. Its description in RNAcentral is "bacterial SSU rRNA". It matches the Rfam family "Bacterial small subunit ribosomal RNA", at positions 95 to 737 of the family's 1533-position model. Lineage: Bacteria; Bacillati; Actinomycetota; Actinomycetes; Mycobacteriales; Corynebacteriaceae. The record is from RNAcentral.
GUGGCGAACGGGUGAGUAACACGUGGGUGAUCUGCCCUGUACUUCGGGAUAAGCUUGGGAAACUGGGUCUAAUACCGGAUAGGACCAUGGUUUAGUGUCUCAUGGUGGAAAGAUUAUUGUUUUGGUGCAGGAUGAGCUCGCGGCCUAUCAGCUUGUUGGUGGGGUAAUGGCCUACCAAGGCGUCGACGGGUAGCCGGCCUGAGAGGGUGGACGGCCACAUUGGGACUGAGAUACGGCCCAGACUCCUACGGGAGGCAGCAGUGGGGAAUAUUGCACAAUGGGCGCAAGCCUGAUGCAGCGACGCCGCGUGGGGGAUGACGGCCUUCGGGUUGUAAACUCCUUUCGUUAGGGACGAAGCCAUACUUUUUGGGUGUGGUGACGGUACCUUUGUUAAGAAGCACCGGCUAACUACGUGCCAGCAGCCGCGGUAAUACGUAGGGUGCGAGCGUUGUCCGGAAUUACUGGGCGUAAAGAGCUCGUAGGUGGUUUGUUGCGUCGUCUGUGAAAUUCCGGGGCUUAACUUCGGGGUGGCAGGCGAUACGGGCAUAACUAGAGUGCUGUAGGGGAGACUGGAAUUCCUGGUGUAGCGGUGGAAUGCGCAGAUAUCAGGAGGAACACCGAUGGCGAAGGCAGGUCUCUGGGCAGU